This 390-nucleotide unclassified non-coding RNA is filed under the name soil metagenome. RNAcentral's name for it is "partial contains 5.8S ribosomal RNA, internal transcribed spacer 2, and large subunit ribosomal RNA". The stretch from base 1 to 122 matches the Rfam family "5.8S ribosomal RNA", at positions 35 to 154 of the family's 154-position model. The record is from RNAcentral.
GAUGAAGAACGCAGCGAAAUGCGAUACUUGGUGUGAAUUGCAGAAUCCCGUGAACCAUCGAGUCUUUGAACGCAAGUUGCGCCCGAAGCCAUUAGGCCGAGGGCACGUCUGCCUGGGCGUCACACGUCGUUGCCCCCCCCAACCCCCUCGGGAGUUGGAUGGGACGGAUGAUGGCCUCCCGUGUGCUCAGUCACGCGGUUGGCAUAAAUACCAAGUCCUCGGCGACCAACGCCACGACAAUCGGUGGUUGUCAAACCUCGGUUUCCUGUCGUGCGCGCGUGUUGAUCGAGUGCUUUCUUAAACAAUGCGUGUCGAUCCGUCGAUGCUUUCAACGCGACCCCAGGUCAGGCGGGGUUACCCGCUGAAUUUAAGCAUAUCAAUAAGCGGGGA